This 253-nucleotide ribosomal RNA is filed under the name uncultured bacterium. RNAcentral's name for it is "partial 16S ribosomal RNA". It matches the Rfam family "Bacterial small subunit ribosomal RNA", at positions 524 to 776 of the family's 1533-position model. The record is from RNAcentral.
UACGCAGGCAGCAAGCGUUGUUCGGAGUUACUGGGCGUAAAGGGUGUGUAGGCGGUUGUUUAAGUUUGGUGUGAAAUCUCCCGGCUCAACUGGGAGGGUGCGCCGAAUACUGAAUGACUAGAGUGCGGGAGAGGAAAGUGGAAUUCCUGGUGUAGCGGUGAAAUGCGUAGAUAUCAGGAGGAACACCGGUGGUGUAGACGGCUUUCUGGACCGUAACUGACGCUGAGACACGAAAGCGUGGGUAGCAAACAGG